UGAAUACGAGACGCUAAGGCGUCGAAGUAGUGUAUGUCAUACUUCCAAGAAAACCUUGCACUGUCAUAGAUAAAAAACGCCUGUACCAUAACCGACACAGGUGGGUAGGUAGAGUAUACUAAGGGGCGCGAGAUAACUCUCUCUAAGGAACUCGGCAAAAUAACUCCGUAACUUCGGGAGAAGGAGUGCCUUAUUCGUAAGGUUGCAAUAACAAGAUCCAAGCAACUGUUUAUCAAAAACACAGGUCUCCGCUAAGUCGUAAGACGAUGUAUGGGGGCUGACGCCUGCCCAGUGCCAGAAGGUUAAAGAAGUUGGUUAGCAAUUGCGAAGCUGAUAACUGAAGCCCUGGUGAACGGCGGCCGUAACUAUAACGGUCCUAAGGUAGCGAAAUUCCUUGUCGGGUAAGUUCCGACCCGCACGAAAGGCGUAAUGAUUUGGAUACUGUCUCGGAGAGGGGCUCGGUGAAAUAGACUUGUCUGUGAAGAUGCGGACUACCUGCACCAGGACAGAAAGACCCUAUGAAGCUUUACUGUAACUUGAAAUUGAAAUUGGACUUUAUUCGCGCAGUAUAGGUGGGAGGCGUUGAUUAUAAUCUUGUGGGAUUAUUGGAGCCAUCAGUGAGAUACCACUCUUGUAAUGUUAGAUUUCUAACUUUGAAUCAUUAUCUGGUCAAAGAACAGUUUCAGGCGGGCAGUUUGACUGGGGCGGUCGCCUCCUAAACGGUAACGGAGGCGUACAAAGGUUUCCUCUGAACGGUUAGAAAUCGUAUCUAGAGUGUAAAGGCAUAAGGAAGCUUGACUGUGAGACCUACAAGUCGAGCAGGGACGAAAGUCGGUCUUAGUGAUCUGACGGUACUGAGUGGAAAGGCCGUCACUCAACGGAUAAAAGUUACUCUAAGGAUAACAGGCUGAUCUCCCCCAAGAGUUCACAUCGACGGGGAGGUUUGGCACCUCGAUGUCGGCUCAUCGCAUCCUGGGGCGGUAGUACGUCCCAAGGGUUGGGCUGUUCGCCCAUGAAAGCGGUACGCGAGCUGGGUUCAGAACGUCGUGAGACAGUUCGGUCCAUAUCCGGUGUAGGCGUUAGAAUAUUGAGAGGAGCCUUCUUUAGUACGAGAGGACCGAGAAGGACAUACCUCUGGUGUACCAGUUAUCGUGCCAACGGUAAACGCUGGGUAGCUAUGUAUGGAGUGGAUAACCGCUGAAAGCAUCUAAGUGGGAAGCCCACCUCAAGAUAAGUAUUCUCAUC
Molecule: ribosomal RNA, 1245 nt
Filed under: metagenome
Description: bacterial LSU rRNA
Rfam family: Bacterial large subunit ribosomal RNA
Source: RNAcentral